GAGACCCCUGUCAGAUCAGGUAGGACCAAGACCUUUUGGUCCGGGUAUCAUUUGGGGGAAAACUCAGCUGCCCGCCAACUCCUCCUUUGCCGCCUUUCUGUGACGUUUUACUUGGGGUUACAAGUACCUGGAAAACGGAAGCAAAUGUUUUCUGAGGAUGUUUAUGAAACUUCCGUUAUCAAGGUGUACAAUAACGGGACCCAAACUCUCCUGCAUUCAGUUCGCUUCCUGAGACGCAUGUUCUCCAGGAUUAGCUUGGGCAAAUCUUUACCCAUGGGCGUUUGACCCCCGUGUUUUUUGCAUUGAAACCGUUCCAGUUUUGUCAGUUAGAUAUUUACGGACAAAUCUAUUUUAGCGCAGGGUGUGAAGAACUCCAGGGAGGUCAUCUUUGCCUUCCUUCCUUUUGUGCAUUUAGCUUCUAUGUAUCUGGCGUAUUUAGGUAUUUGCUCCUGUUAGCCAGAAGGGAAAUGGACAUUCUCUGUGCAGAGCUUUUAAGUCUUAAAUUACGGGUCUGGGUCUAACAUCCACUCUGUUCUCUCACCCACCCUCACACAUGGAAACCUGAUGGGCACUGUGCUGUACUGAGAUCCAGGCAGGAGAACCAUUUUAACUUCUAGUAGAUCGAGGGAGGCUCACGUGUCUAGGUGCUGGUGGACUCAGGCCACAGCAUCAACUGGAAAUUGCUGUUGAGAAUAUGCACCUUGUUUUCCAGGUUGGCUAAGUGUAGGCUAUGAAGCCAGUUUUAUAGCUCAGUACACUCAGAGGAAUGGAAUGAUGUCUUUAUUUUUAACAAAAGUUAAAUAGUUAAUUAGUUCACUAGAGGUAUCACUUCAGGGUAGAACAGUCCUUGAAAUUCUGAUAGAAAUCAUGGAUGUUCGAUCUGAAUAACGCCUGCUUUUUAAUGCGUAAAUUUGACUUCUGCUUGGACGUGUUCUUAACCCCAAAUAAUUUGGGUUUUUUUUUUUUUUUUUUGCUUUCUCCAUUCCAUGGAAGCUUGUAGGGUAAGCUUCCUUCCUCAUCUCUUCCUUUUUUCUCUCUUUUGUACAUGGAGAAAUGUAUUUUUGUACCAUAUCUCAUACCUUGAAGAGAAACCUUUUUUAUAUCUUCAGGGCUGUAGAACAUAUUAGUGUAACACAUCCUUCAACGUGAUAUGUAAACAUCCUGACGAAAACUACUGUGGAUCUCUGUUUUAGUUAAGACUCAGUUUUUUAGAUAUCUUCAAGGCAUCAAUGUUAAUUGCCCAGUGCUUCAGUAUCACAGUAAAUACCGAGAACAGAAAAGAGUCCAGAAGAGAAAAAGGACCAGCUACCUCCAGAUUGCUGGAUUUCUGUGGGUGUUUGGGGAUAAUGUUUGGAGCAAUCUCUUCCUUGACAUCCUAGCAAAGAUGCUUUCGUGGCACAUCAGCCUUCUGUAAAUAUAUUUUCCAGUACCAAUCAGCGUUACCUGCCUUCCGGGUUUUUUGGUUUGCUCGUUUUUGUUUUUGUACCCCACGUCAUUUCUGGUAGCAAAGUGCAGCAACAGAAUUUCCUGAAAGCUAGCCUUGUGACUUAUGCCCGGGGUCUUAACUGAUGAAGGUGACCGAGUGACAGCACGGAGAGAGGUUAGUGCCGUUGAAAGAAGGCUUUUAAUACCCACAGUUUCCUGGAGACAACAAGCAUACCAUGCCGCGUGGGACCACAGGAAGCCUGAUACACGCAGGGUCAGGAAGCAGACGGAGGGGAACUGGGUCUGUGCUCUUCUGACUGUGGUGAGAAGUAGCUAGUUGGGGACAUCACCUGUUGGAACUAAGGGUGAGCAUGUAGGAUGGGGUCAGUGCUUGGGAGGGUUAUAAUAGGACUUUUGCACACCCACGAGGGCUGGCUUGCAGGAAAGAUGAAAAUCACUUUGGUCGUUAGUCUGGCCCCGUGAUUCGGCAGCCUUCUGGUUAGGAAUAACAUGUCAGAUGUCCAGUGCAGAAUCCGAAACAUGGCGAAGACACCUUCUCACUAGUGGGAAUCCUGCUUUGCUUCAUCUCCGUGCUUCCCCCUGCUUCUUAAGAUGCUUUUGAGGAACGAUACCUGCCUUACAGCGUGACACCUGAGCGCUUCUCCCUGAUGGGUUUUGAACUGGCUGAUUGAAUCCAAAAUCCAGCUCUCCCAUCCAGCCAGCUCACUUUAAAAGGAAUGCCUGGGACUUCCCUGGCGGUCCAGUGGUUAGGACUCGGUGCUCUCACUGCCGUGGCCCGGGUUCAACCCCUGGUUGGGGAACUAAGAUCCUGCAAGCUGCUCGGCGCGGCCAAAGAAAAUUAAAAAUAAAAGGAAUUCUUUAAGGUCCUAAAGGUGUCAACCUGCUCCCCCAGCUUUUUAAAAUAAGACAUCAUCAUUUUUGUUUAUGGCCAUUUGAGUAGUUGAACCUUUCCUCCUCACUUGUGAAUAAUAGAAGUUUAUAUUUUUGCAGGAUCUAACACAGUACCCUUAAAAUUAGUAUUGGAUAACCAGCAAUAUGAUGUAUAGUAUCGGGGAUAAACAAACCUUGUCCAGCGUACUCAAUUCUGUGCUCUGCUCUUCAUUGAUUCCUUGAUAUGUAGGAGAUACCCCAGGACCAGUUUUUCCCUGGUGGUGGCAUAAAAAGCCGAUCGUCCUUUGCACCGUCUACUGAAGAUCUGCGGCAGCUAAUGUUAUUAUGAACCAUAUGUUCUAAUGUCUUUUUGCAUAUUUAAAGGUUUUAUUGUAGUGUCAGUUUAAUAUCCGCAUGUGUGUUAAAUCUCUGAAUACCGUAAUUAACUUGAUUUCUUGUGGUGGUGAUUAGCUCUCACUUAAAAUCCAGCGAAGCAAUUAUUUCCCUCUUAACUGGAAAUCAUAUUUGUGUGGUAUGGUACCCAUCAUCCACAGUGUAUUCAUGAGUCAAAUUUGUAUUUUGUGUAUCUGGUUAUAAAUCUUACGUAGCAUUUAAUUUGAUACUAUAAAUCCACUUGAUUUGAAUAUAGUGGUGUGUGUGUGUGUGCAUAUGUGGUGUGUGUACACUUUAGUUUCAUGAGCCUUGGGAAACUGAUUCUACAAAUAUCAUAAAUAGACAUAAAUGUAUAAGGCUUAUUUUUUUGGCAGAGCAAUCCGUACGUCCCUCUUAUUUAUUAAAUCACUGGCUUUGGUGUUAUGUAGAGAUAUUUGUAGACCGAUCUCAGAACAGAAUUAAAAUAUUGUGAAAAUUACAGCUUAAUAAAUGUUUAUGGUAAUUUUGUUG
Molecule: long non-coding RNA, 3219 nt
Organism: Phocoena sinus (vaquita)
Lineage: Eukaryota; Metazoa; Chordata; Mammalia; Artiodactyla; Phocoenidae
Source: Ensembl